Non-coding RNA from Pelobates cultripes (western spadefoot toad), 294 nucleotides. Lineage: Eukaryota; Metazoa; Chordata; Amphibia; Anura; Pelobatidae. The record is from the annotation of a GenBank genome assembly.
GGAUAGUCUGUGUAGCUUGAACUGUCCCUGGAGUCUGGUGUGGUGGUGGUACCAUAAUGUGAUUGUGGGUUUUGCAUGGUAUUCUGUUAUGGAUCUAUGUCCAUGUCAUACUAUAUCGUUGACUUUUGGGUCAACCCCUUGCCUGUCUUGAUGUGGGGUAGCAGGGAGGGGGGGGGGAGGAUUAGGGCCUCGCUUGGCUCUUAGAUGGGUGAAUUCUGCAUAAAUAGGAUCCAAGGAUCCAAGGUGGAUGUGUAAUGUUGAUAUUGGUGUGAUAGAGAGUAGCAUGUCUCUUCA